GAGUUUGAUCCUGGCUCAGGACGAACGCUGGCGGCGUGCCUAAUACAUGCAAGUGGAGCGACGAACCAGGGCUUGCCCUGGGGCAAAGCCGCGAACGGGUGAGUAACACGUGGGUAACCUGCCCUGAUGAUUGGGACAACCCGAGGAAACUCGGGCUAAUACCAAAUGUGCUUUUCAACCUUAAGGUUGAUUCGGAAAGGUAGCUUCGGCUAACCGCAUCAGGAUGGGCCCGCGGCCCAUUAGCUUGUUGGUGAGGUAACGGCUCACCAAGGCUUCGAUGGGUAGCUGGUCUGAGAGGACGAUCAGCCACACUGGGACUGAGACACGGCCCAGACUCCUACGGGAGGCAGCAGUAGGGAAUCUUGCGCAAUGCGCGAAAGCGUGACGCAGCAACGCCGCGUGGAGGAAGACGGUCUUCGGAUUGUAAACUCCUUUCAGUUGGGACGAGGCUUCGGCGUUGAAUAGACGUUCGGAGUGACGGUACCUUCAGAAGAAGCCCCGGCUAAUUACGUGCCAGCAGCCGCGGUAAUACGUAGGGGGCGAGCGUUGUCCGGAAUCAUUGGGCGUAAAGCGCGUGUAGGCGGCUCGAUAAGUCUGCUGUGAAAGUCCAGGGCUCAACCCUGGAAUGCCGGUGGAUACUGUCGAGCUCGAGUCCGGAAGAGGCGAGUGGAAUUCCUGGUGUAGCGGUGAAAUGCGCAGAUAUCAGGAGGAACACCGGUGGCGAAGGCGGGUCUCUGGGCCGUAACUGACGCUGAGGAGCGAAAGCAUGGGGAGCGAACAGGAUUAGAUACCCUGGUAGUCCAUGCCGUAAACGUUGGGCGCUAGGUGUGGGGCUCUUUCCACGAGUUCCGUGCCGCAGCAAACGCAUUAAGCGCCCCGCCUGGGGAGUACGGCCGCAAGGCUAAAACUCAAAGGAAUUGACGGGGGCCCGCACAAGCGGCGGAGCAUGCGGAUUAAUUCGAUGCAACGCGAAGAACCUUACCAAGGCUUGACAUGGGGUGAAAACCGGCAGAGAUGUCGGGUCCGCAAGGGCACCUCACAGGUGGUGCAUGGUUGUCGUCAGCUCGUGUCGUGAGAUGUUGGGUUAAGUCCCGCAACGAGCGCAACCCUCGUUCUAUGUUGCCAGCACGUAAUGGUGGGGACUCAUAGGAGACUGCCGGGGUCAACUCGGAGGAAGGUGGGGAUGACGUCAAAUCAUCAUGCCCCUUAUGUCUUGGGCUUCACGCAUGCUACAAUGGCCAGUACAAAGGGCUGCGAGACCGUAAGGUGGAGCGAAUCCCAAAAAGCUGGUCUCAGUUCGGAUCGGGGUCUGCAACUCGACCCCGUGAAGUCGGAGUCGCUAGUAAUCGCAGAUCAGCAACGCUGCGGUGAAUACGUUCCCGGGCCUUGUACACACCGCCCGUCACGUCACGAAAGUCGGUAACACCCGAAGCCGGUGGCCCAACCCUUGUGGAGGGAGCCGUCGAAGGUGGGACUGGCGAUUGGGACGAAGUCGUAACAAGGUAGCCGUACCGGAAGGUGCGGCUGGAUCACCUCCUUUCU
This 1542-nucleotide ribosomal RNA is filed under the name uncultured bacterium. RNAcentral's name for it is "partial 16S ribosomal RNA". It matches the Rfam family "Bacterial small subunit ribosomal RNA". The record is from RNAcentral.